Long non-coding RNA from Gymnodraco acuticeps, 868 nucleotides. RefSeq lists it as uncharacterized. The record is from RefSeq and is a predicted model, not a curated record. The transcript has 7 exons. Lineage: Eukaryota; Metazoa; Chordata; Actinopteri; Perciformes; Bathydraconidae.
UAUAGUGCUGAGCCACGAAGAGUUUCUGCAAUUGACAUUCUGAAGCUACAAAACACAGGGGUGAAAAUCACAUCCACAGGAAGGCUGACCGAUCCUCUUCUUUUCAGAUUUCACUCACUUUGACUGGACAUCUUCUGUGUGCCUCAAGGCGGGACACCCACUGUUUCUCUCGGUGCACCCACAGAGCCACCGUGGAGAGCUGAUGCAGUGAUUUGCAUCCUCGGGCCAUAUCAACCCAACUGUGAGGCAGCACUGUGACAGGUUAAAAGCACAGAGGGAGCAAAGAGCGGCCCGGAGCAGCCUCGUAAGGAAGCAUCAGACGAAGGGAAGCGGGGCAGUUUACGACUGACAUCACACAUCCUUUACUCCUAACUCAAACUGCAAAGCUGAAAGAACUGGAGUUACAGAAGACUGAGGUGGAGAGGCUUAAACAAGAGCUUCAAGCACAAGCAGCUAAACUUGCAAACCUGGAGUCACAGAAGACUGAGGUGGACAAGCUGAAGCAACAACUUCAAGGGAGGAGAACCAACAAAUGUGUCUGAGCACCAACAGACCUGUCCUCAAGACAUCCACGCUGUGCUGAGAGAGAUGAGCGCCUCUUUGGCUGAACAGAGGGUGUAGACGAGGCACCUUCAGAGAGAGAAUGAAGCACAUGCAGCUAAGCUGAGAGAACUGGAGUUACAGAAGACUGAGAUGCACACGUUGAAGCUACAGCAACAAGCACAAACCGCUAAGCUGGAGUUACAGAAGACUGAACUGGAGAAGCAGAAGACUGAGGGGGACAAGCUAAAGUAACAACUUCAAGUACAAGCAGCAGAGAUGAUCACUGUGAAAGCCAGGUCAAAUGUCACAGAAAACCAGGUGGAGG